RNAcentral lists this ribosomal RNA (444 nucleotides) under uncultured bacterium. RNAcentral's name for it is "partial 16S ribosomal RNA". It matches the Rfam family "Bacterial small subunit ribosomal RNA", at positions 338 to 795 of the family's 1533-position model. The record is from RNAcentral.
CCUACGGGGGGCAGCAGUGGGGAAUAUUGGGCAAUGGAGGCAACUCUUACCCAGCAAUGCCGCGUGAAUGAAGAAGGUCUUCGGAUUGUAAAGUUCUUUAAUUGGGGACGAAAAAAAUGACGGUACCCAAGGAAUAAGCCCCGGCUAACUACGUGCCAGCAGCCGCGGUAAUACGUAGGGGGCAAGCGGUGUUCGGAAUGACUGGGCGUAAAGGGUGUGUAGGCGGUGUAGCAAGUUAGAAGGGAAAUACCUAGGGCUUAACUCAGGUGCUGCUUCUAAAACUGCUAUACUUGAGUGCAGUAGAGGAAAGUGGAAUUCCUAGUGUAGCGGUGAAAUGCGUAGAUAUCAGGAGGAACACCGGCGGCGAAGGCGGGCUGCUGGACCGCGACUGACGUUGAGGCUCGAAAGCGUGGGGAGCGAACAGGAUUAGAUACCCGGGUAGUC